This 364-nucleotide ribosomal RNA is filed under the name uncultured soil bacterium. Its description in RNAcentral is "bacterial SSU rRNA". It matches the Rfam family "Bacterial small subunit ribosomal RNA", at positions 26 to 373 of the family's 1533-position model. The record is from RNAcentral.
AGAAUCAACGCUGGCGGCGUGCCUCAGACAUGCAAGUCGAACGCGAAAGUCCCCUUCGGGGGGACAAGUAGAGUGGCGCACGGGUGAGUAACACGUAGGUAAUCUACCUUCGGAUGGGGAAUAACAAUCGGAAACGGUUGCUAAUACCGCAUAAUGCAGCGGCACCUAAUGGUGACAGGUUGUUAAAGCGGGGGAUACGAAAGACCUCGCGUCUAGAACGAGGAGCCUGCGGCGGUAUUAGCUAGUGGUAGUAAUGGCUUACAGGCUACGAUCCGUAACGCCUGAGAGGGCGGUCGGUCAACGACUCGACACGUGACAGUACGGGCAGACUCGUACGGAGGCAGCAGUCGGAAUUUGGGCAAGU